This 741-nucleotide long non-coding RNA is filed under the name Arachis ipaensis. RNAcentral's name for it is "long non-coding RNA (AIPA_LNC001196)". The record is from RNAcentral. Lineage: Eukaryota; Viridiplantae; Streptophyta; Magnoliopsida; Fabales; Fabaceae.
ACAAUUAGGAGAAAAAUAAUAAAAACAUGCUUUUUUAAGGAAUAAGUGCAAGUUAAGUUGAUAAAUUCCAGUUUUUUCAAUUCAAAAAUCAUCGUAAAAUAUGAAUUUAUCACAUGACUAAAGGCAAUGAAAAGUUGAUUCAUCUUCAAGCUCACAUCUCGGACAUUCGAGGUUCACGAUAGCAAUUCUUGAUCACAGCCUCUCUUUCACCGGUAAAUUGUUGUGCAUAGCCUUCCAAAUAAAGUUUUUAACUUUUGGUUGACAUUUUAUUUUCCAGAGGCCAAUCCAGAAGCUCUUCUUCCUGCAUCUUUCUGGCAUGUAAUCCAGUGGGGGGUGGAAAAAAUUAAAGGCAAUUUCAUACUCAGAGGCAACUGUGUAGGCACCAGAUUUCUCUUUGCUCCACGUAAGCAAAUCCUCAUUUUGCUUAAUUUCUGUAAUGAGUAUUGCUUGGACAAUUUUGGAUUGAAUAUCUCUGUUAUUCUGUCUUGAUUCUAUUGUCGAUUAGGCAGCAGUAAUUCUACAACCCAGACUAGUUGAUAUGGUAAAUUUGGUAGGCAAAGAUAAUCUUAGUAGGACUGAGUUGUUUGAUCCAUUUCUCAUCCUUAAUCUUCACCAUAGUACCACUUUCAAUUUUCUAGAAAAUUCUUUUCUCCAGUACCUUCCUUCCCUCUAAUAUACUUCUCCAUCUCUAAGAAGGGUUAUGUCCUGUCUCUGCUCUUAGUAAAUUCGAGUACUUGAAAU